GGUAAGAUGGCUGAGUAAGUGGUGGAUUGUAGCUCCAUAAACAGAGGUUUAAGCCCUCUUCUUACCA
This 67-nucleotide transfer RNA is filed under the name Halieutichthys aculeatus. RNAcentral describes it as "tRNA-Tyr". It matches the Rfam family "tRNA". From Rfam's summary of the family: Transfer RNA (tRNA) molecules are approximately 80 nucleotides in length. Their secondary structure includes four short double-helical elements and three loops (D, anti-codon, and T loops). Further hydrogen bonds mediate the characteristic L-shaped molecular structure. tRNAs have two regions of fundamental functional importance: the anti-codon, which is responsible for specific mRNA codon recognition, and the 3' end, to which the tRNAs corresponding amino acid is attached (by aminoacyl-tRNA synthetases). tRNAs cope with the degeneracy of the genetic code in two manners: having more than one tRNA (with a specific anti-codon) for a particular amino acid; and 'wobble' base-pairing, i.e. permitting non-standard base-pairing at the 3rd anti-codon position. RNAcentral also lists the same sequence under 3 other names. Lineage: Eukaryota; Metazoa; Chordata; Actinopteri; Lophiiformes; Ogcocephalidae. The record is from RNAcentral.